This 14466-nucleotide long non-coding RNA is filed under the name Coffea arabica (coffee). RNAcentral describes it as "long non-coding RNA (CARA_LNC001016)". The record is from RNAcentral. Lineage: Eukaryota; Viridiplantae; Streptophyta; Magnoliopsida; Gentianales; Rubiaceae.
UUUUUUUUUUUUUUUUUUUUUUUGGUGGGCAAGCUCCUAGCCUCACAUUAAAAGCGUAAUUUUCUCAUUAUUGCGUUUUCCAAAUUGGUGUCGUUUUCAAAAAAUUAGUACAUAAUUUUUAUUCUUUUGCCACUCCUAUUCCUUGUCCUUUUUAGAAAGAUAAUAUACACCAUUCAAAUUUCUUAAUGUGGAGGGUGAACUUUGAAAACUCUGUGUAAGUAUCACCAUUAGGUCAUUAUUGUUAAAAUGUUGAGUUGCCCAAAAAUGACAAAUAUUUGGGAUGGAGGGAUUGAUUAGUAAAGUAAACAUAGGAAAUACAAAGAAAGCAAGAAAGAAGUGCAAAGAAAAUUCAUAAUGGUAGCUUUCUACACCAAUCAGAUGUAUGUGUAUACUUUUAUAUAUAUAUAUAUAUAUAUAUAUAUAUGUAUGUAUUCUUUAUUACUCGUUAGACGUUAUAUUUUUCAUUCCAUAAAGUAAGUAUACAUUAGUAUUUUGGGAGUUCACAAACAUUGUCACAUUUUUAAUAUUAUACUUCUUUACCCCACAUAAUAAAGUGACACAUGUUCCUUUAUUUUACAUUAACGAUGGCCAUGAAUCAUGUAAGAAUAGUCUGUGGAUGAUAUCUUCUAACUAAUAUUAAAUUAAAAGGCACAUCACGCCCCAAUCCAUGGUGUAAAAGAGUUUUGGAUUCAAAUCCUCUUUCUCCAUUUUUACUUUUUAAAUCUCACACGUCCCUUGGUAAUUUUUUUUUUUAAAAGUUUUAUAGGGUAAAAAGGAUUUCCAAAAGGCAAUAGAAAUUUCCAAAAUUUCAGAUUAAAGUGAAGUAGUGUGUCCUGAAUGAUUCACAAAAAAGAUUUUCAUUGCUUAAUCCUUUUCCCCUUUGGAUUUCAAUCCGCAUAACCUGCUUUAUAUGCUACCACUUAAUCAACCCGCGCUUAAUGAUUCAAAUCCAAAAUUCACGCUUCUCAGCUAAACACAGUCCACGCUUUCUCGAAACUAUCUUAACCAUUCUAAGUCCAUUCCGGGCAAGCAUGCAGAUCUUCGUCAUAUCCCAAAGCAGCAGGACCAUUGUUUUCGAGGUGGAAAUUUCCGAUACCAUCCAAGUCGUCAAGGCCAAGCUUCAGCUGAAAGAUGGAAUCCCUCCUCAGCACCAGAGCCUCGUAUUGGCCGGCAAACAACUAGAUGAAGAUCGCACACUCGAGGAUUACGACAUCUAGGAGAACUCCACAUUAAUGGCAAGGCCGAGGUACACUGACCAGCGAUGUUUUUAAACUUGGACCGGUCAGCGAACCGGAGAGGUGGCCGGUUCGCGGUUCGACCGGUCCAACCGGCCGGUUCACAGGUUCACUGUUUUGUUUUUUUUGUUUUUACUAAGCAAGUUUCAUUACUUGACAGCUAAUGUACAAUUUAAUAUAAUUAUUGAUAACUUAAGUUUCUAAAAUGCAUUCACCAACAUAACUAAAUUUAAGUUGAAAUAAUAAUAAAUUUCCUAAAAGUUAUACAUAAAACAUGGAAUGAUAAACAUAAUUAAAAUAUCAUAAUUCACCACAAGUUUUCAUAAAUUCAUUAUAAACAUAAAUAGAUACAAUCCAAAUGUUCACCAAUUAUCACAAAUAAAAACACAAAAAAUAACUAAAAUAAAUAUUGAAAUUCUUUUACAAUCCUUAAAAAAAUCCAUAAAAGAGUUCAACUCAAGACAAACCAUUUGAAUGACAAACUUCCAUUAGUGGCAUGACAAGUAGCAACAACACCACCUUCACAAUUUCAUCAACUUAACUUGGAAAAGUUAAAAUUUUAUUAUAAAAAUAUAAAUUAAUUGCUCAAACUAAAAAAAACUAAAAAAAUUUGAAAAACAAAUAUACAGCUAAACACAUUAAAAAUUAAUUAUUACUAAACAUCACUAAUUAACAUGUUAUAUUAAAUUCAAUGAUCCUAUACAAUUAAUUAUUUUAAAUUCAAUGAUCAAUAGCUUCGAUUAUAUGCCAACUAACAUAUUUUUUACCAGCCUAAUGUUAUUAUUUGUAAGUCCUACCCAAUUCCUACAUGGAGGUGUGCUACUUUUGCAAAAAUUUCAUCCUUAAUUACUCAAAUAAAAAUAAAACAAAAAUUAGGGAAACAGAUGAAAAUUGGGGGGGAGGGAAAAAGAAGAAAAUGCAAAAAAAAAAUCAACUAAAGAUAAUAAUAUAGAAAAAAAAGCUUGAAAAGAGAAAAAUUAAACUUACCAAAAUGAUGGAAAACAAGAAAAGUUGAAAUUUCCAACUUGUUUACAAUCUGCCAAAGAUGAUAACCUGAUAAUAAUGGUGAAGACUUGAGAAAAUCUUGUUGUGGAUAUUUGGGUUUAAAAUGGUUAUGAAGAAAAAAUUGAAAAAAAAAAUCAAGAGAAGAACUAGAGAGCGCCGCCUAAUGAAGCCGAGAAAGUAAUUGAUGGAAAGAAAAUUUAGAAAAGUUCAUCUGCAUUGAUGCACUUUGCUUUUUCUGUACCUGAUAUUUUAAUAUAUUUUUAGUCAAAUAGAAUUGUCAACAAGCUUAACUAUGGUCUAGUGGUAAAAUUGUCAUAUGUAAAUGUGGAAGCUUAGGUUCGAAUCGGAGCUACACCAUUUUUGAUAUUUUGUUGAGGAAUUAAAAAAACCGUCGGUUUACGGUUCGAACGGUUCAUCCGGUUUUCAAUGGUUUUCAUGAACUUCCGGUUUUAGCACUAGAUCGGACCGUUGACAUGUCCGGUUCGUGGUCCAACCGGUUGAACCGACCGGUCCGGUCCGACUCUGAAAACAUUGCUGACAAGAGAAAAUUCCAUCAUAUGCAGCCAUAUGAUCCUCCCAAUAAACCUCACAAAAGCACCCUCCCCAAAUCUUUGUCGGAAAACAGUCCACAAAAGUACCCGCCCGUGUUUAUCAUAGUAAUCGUUUAUUUUUUUGGUUAAUUGUACUGCUUCUUGAUGCUAACUAUGACAGGUUUCUUGACGUUAUUAGAUGCCAUUUAUGUUUUUUUAGCAAUGAUCAGUUAAUUGGAAAUCUUUUAUCUUGUAUUAUUGACUGGAAUUUGAAUUCUUGCGGUUAGAUUUUAUGUUCUUUACUGAUUAGCGAUACAGAAUUAAGCUAAUACAGAAUUAAUUCAUCUUGUAUUUAUGAUUGGAAUUUCUUCAUAUCAAUAAAUAUAGUAUCCCUAGACAUUGCACCUUUUACAUGGCUUAAUUAUAUAAAUAGUUAUUGACGAAAAAAAAUUAUAUAAACUGUUUGGCUAAGUUGUGCACCACUCACUCAUUAAUAGGGGUUUCAAGUAUUAGUUUUUUAGAAAAGUACAAAUAACAUGGAAAAAUGUAUAAAAACAAGGACAUAAUAAUUGUGAUUGUGUGUAUCAACAUAACAAAUUAGGGAAAAAUGCACUUUUCAUCCUUAAAGUUUGGGUUGUUAACCAAUUUUAUUCUCAAAAUUUCACCCAAAACGCAUUUUAUCCUCAAAGUUAGUAAUUUUGGCCAAUUAAGGACAAUUGACGGGAAUUGGCAAAUUUAUCGUUAGAACCAACUGUAAACCCAACAAAAAAUGGGUAAAAUCGAAUGGAACCGUAUUUCACAGCAGACGCUAAAAUACAAAGGGAUCAGUCACCAAGGUCAUGGCCCAGAAAAGUCAGUAGCUCUCUUUCCUAUGUUAUUGAUCCCUCCUUCUUGGACUUGGGAUCGCGAAAAAUCUAGAUGGGGACAAAGGAAACCCAUAACCAGGAGAAGGAGGCACUUAAGGCCCCGGGCCUAGUAUCCCUGAUUGAGCCAUUGGAGAAAGUGAGAAAUUUGGAGUCAUUGGAGAAGGGUGCUGAAAACUAGGAGAAAGCAAUGGAUACGAUGAUCUAGGAGAAAACAAAUUUAAGAAACCAGUUGGUGAUGGCAAAAGAAACUGAGAAGUUGGGGAAGGCAAAAGUGGAUGUGGACCAUUUAUUCGAGGUGAAGGAAGAGAGGGUGGAGGACCAUUCAUCCUAGGAGAUGGAAAAGGAGGAGGACCGUUCAUCCUAGGAGAUGUAAGUGGUGGAGGCAUGUUCAUUCUUGGAGAUGGGAUAGGCGGCAUAUGCGGAUUAGGAAGUAAACCAGAAGCAGAUGGCUGAGCUUGAUUUGGACCAAGACCCUGAGGUAUUAACUAGGGAAAAGGUUGCCUUGGCCCUGAAUCUAUGAUUGAAUUUUGAAGGUAUCGCAUGUAAGCUGAUAUAGGAGACUCAGCUGUGUUUGGCCAAGCAUCACCAGGAAUGAAGGGUGGCAACAUAGUUGGUGAUGGUUGGCCAUACUGGGGGAGAGGAGGUCUUGUGAAGUUGUUGUUGUAUGGAACACUAGCUGGAGGCUGUGCGGGAGCUGGCACUGGUACAGGAGGUUGAAUCGUCAUAGGAGGUCGAUUUAUUGGUGUCAAGGGCGGUGGCUGAAUCUUCUGCAACCGCAUACUUGCAGGUUUGGGGGGAUUUUGGGGAGGCCUAGGAGCAGGUGGUUCUUGAUUAUUCGAAGGUGAACCAGCAAACUGUUGCACUAUGUUUCGAAAAUCAUUUUUAUUAAUAUUAUACACCUAAGGCUGAGGUUGCUGCUUGGCAGUUUUAGUAAAAUUGGGUCGGUACAUUGGACUCUUCUUUAUGUUCUUCCCUAUCUUAUUCACACCCAAAUGAUCCGUAUGCCGAUUCAUCUGCCUAUUGGUACUAUCCAUAUCAACACCUUGAACCGACCAACAAAUUCAGAAUGGUGCAAGCUCAAAUUUCUUUUCUUCUUCAGCUAGUGAAUCCAACAAUUACCAUCUUAAGCAUCAAAACACCAACUGAUGAUCAAACCAAAGUAAAACUCAAAACUUUUGUGUAUUGAUUUUGAUGAUGUUUUUGCAGGGAUGAAGAUUAAGACAGACACACCUCUUGCCAAGAAGGCACGAGAAAGAGUUAUGGAAUUUUGCUAAUGAAUCAUCCGUUGGAUUGCCCAAUUUGUGAUCAAGGUGGGGAAUGUGGCUCCAUUCGGUUUUACCCAUUUUUUUGUUGGGUUUAUAGUUGGUUCUAACGAUAAAUUUGCCAAUUCUCGUCAAUUGUCCUUAAUUGGCCGAAAUUACGUAAUUUUGAGGAUGAAAUGUGUUUUGGAUAAAACUUUGAGGAUGAAAUUGGUCAACAGCCCAAACUUUAAGGAUGAAAAGUGCAUUUUUCCCUAACAAAUUAAGUAAUUUGUGUGUGCUAACUAGUGCUCAUUGGAUACUGAUCACUAGAAAAACCCUUACAUAAAUCAAGAAAGAUUAAUCUUACCUAAUUGCAAAACUAAGGUUACUCAUUGACAAAGUAUAAAUUGUUUUUCUUUUUGGUAAUUUUGUAAAUUGAUUUUUUAUUUGUUCAUGAAAUAAUGUCUUGACUAUAAGGAAAAAACAAAAUAUUGGGCUUAACUUAAUUUUAAUAAUAAUUAACAUCAAACCGUGAUUUUUUACAUUGAGGCCAUAAAAUCAUAGUAAUUCAUCAGACUUUCAGAGUUUUACAACACACUUUGUUGGGGAAAAAAUGGGAAAAAGAAUACACAACUGCAAACAUAAUCUAUUGUAUCUCCAGUUUAUCACGAGAGUCGGUGUCUCCUAGGCUACCGAUACCAAAAGGAUAAGCAUUAAGUAAUGAGGAUAAUGCAGAGUAUGCCAAUCUGGAAGAUGCUUCGUACACUAUUUCACUGGGAUGGAAAUCAUCCCAGAAAUAAUAUUCGUUUCUGUUGCUGCAGGGAAUUUGUCCAGGAAUGCAUUGUCCAGCACUAACUGUUGUAGACACAUUGCAGCAUGGUGCUUUAUCAAUUGUAAUUUCUGAGAUAGAUUUAGUGUAAGAAUGAAUUGAAAAAAGAAAAAAAAAACACAGUAUCAAAGAAAAAUGUGGAAGUAGACGUGUAGAAGAUAGAUGUACAAUGACGUUUUUUCUUUUUUUUCUUUUCUUUUCGUUUUUGUUUCUACAUAAACUGAAAUUUCCUAAGUGAACCUUAUGUAUCCAACUACACAUUCAAAUGGAAGCAUCAAUUUUUAGAAAAUGGCAAGUGGCAAGAUAGGAUAAUUUUGCUUUUAUAUUUACAUGUGAAAUGCUGAGUAGCUGAAGUGUUUCUAAGUCAAUCGUUCCAUUAAAACGUUAAUUUGCUUCAUUGGACUUCGAGUUUAUGCAAGUAUAUAUACUGAUGAAUUAUCAUUCCAUAUAGUAGCAACCAAUAUUUCGUGUUCAAAUGGUUAAAAGAUAAGAAAUCUAAUUGUUCAAAAUGUAUUAGACGGUUUAGAUCAUUUUAUUAGGAAAGGUAUGAAAAAUAAGAACCAAAAAAAAAAAAUUUUCAUAGAAGGGUACAACUUUUGGUAAAUAAGGGUAUGGGUAUUGUUCAUUGAUUAAAACAGUUAAUAAAUUUAUUGUUAAAUAACUAGAUCUUGUUUGAUAACCCAAUUCAGCACUUAAAUUUAAUAAUUUCAUAUUUUAACAUAUUCAGACUCGUUUGAUAAUAAAAAAUAAAACAUCUAAAUUAAUUAAGUGACACUGAAUUUUCUAAGCAAAAUUUGUUCGAAAAAUAAGUGAUAAGUUAUUCAUUUAUUACUUAAUAUGGUAUAUACUCAAAUAUAUUAGAUUUAGUGCUUAAUAAUUCAGUAACUUAAUGAAUUCAAAUUUUAGAUUUCAUAUUUGAAUUUUCAUAUUUCAGUUUUAUCAAACGCAUUCUAAAUCACCUUCAUAGAAUUGUGCACUCUAGUGUAUAGGGCAUCUACACAAAUAUUAUAUUAAGAGAUAAACUCUUUGGUUUAUGAGCCUCUUCAUUUUGAUAUUGCAUUAUCAUGAUUUUCAUAAACUUCAAAAGAAAACAACCCAAGAAUGUUAAAUGUGGUAACUAACCAAAUAAUUGCCAACUUGCAUCUUUUUCAAAGAAUGAAAUUAUUAUCCACACAUUUUACCUCAGUCUUUAUAACAAAAAUGUUGUAAAAUUAAGUUCAAUAAGCUUAUUUUGUAACCAAAACCUUGAUAUUCUUUUCGAUUGCAUGAACAUCAGGUUUGCCUUCAUCACCGUCCUAUAUUAUCUGUGCAGGUUGAGUCUAAAUAAACACUUUCGGUUUCCAUAAAGUAGAAGUUCCAACGUACCUGCAGGCAUAGUGCUCAAAGUGAUUGCUGUCACAUUUACAUAGAUAAAAUGUGCACUGCUUAACUCGGCAUUCAGUUCAUCGACCAGUGGCUUGAGCUCCUCAUUGAAUAACUGAACUUCACUAUUUAAAGAAUCCACACAUGUACCAUCUAUAGAUAACAAACCAGGCACACAACCAAGGAAACCUAGCCCAAAAAUAGCUAUUUUUCUUGCCCCCAAUCUGUACAAUUUCUAGCACCAAAAGGGAUACGAGUUAGGUUUUUUCUUUUUCUUUUUUAAAUGUAUAUUCAACGUGAACAUCAAAAUUUAAUGAUGGAAAAUGGAAAUUUGUUAAAAGAAAAUAAUUAUACGAACCCGUAGUUGCUGAGAAUAUUCUUUAAUCAACAUUCUAGCAAAUUGUCUUGGAGUACAUAGGCGGCUUGCAGCAUAACAUUCUGGCAGUAAGUAGCUGUCGAUGUAAUCGUUACUUCCAAUUGCAAAAGUAUACAAACAUUUGGCUAGGUAUUCUUUUGUUGCAGCUUCGUUCCCAAUUAAUCUCACAAGCUGCGAAGUUACUCUUCUAUGAUUUUGCAAUUGUUGGUUGAGGCUGACGAUAUCGCCCUAUUAGUAAAAAAGAAAGCAAUGUAGUGUGAGUUUUGGCUAGCUUGCCUCCCUCAAGAGGUCAGUAACAACAAAAAGAAAAGCAAAGCACCAAUACUGGAUUCUUGAGAUUUUGAAAUAAAUUUUUUAGCAUAAUUAGGUAAUAAUGAAUGUAUCCCAUUAGCUUUCUUUUAUUAAGCAAUUUUAAAGAAGUGGAAAUGUGUAUCAGACAAGAAAUUGGACAAUAAAAGAAAAAAUAGGUCAAGUUAUGAGUCAUGACUAUUUACAUUUCUAAUGAGGCCAUUGUGGCAUUGUGACCAGAAUCCAUGGUCCGCAGCUGAUAUGUUCACUACAUUAUUUGUUCCUUUUUUCAUUUUUCAUUUUCCCCCCAAGUAUUCUUACCACUUCAGUGUGCCAUAUGGUUCAUUUGUGUUAAAAUUGAAGACUAAUCCGCCAAUUGAAAAAUGGAGUUUGAUUUUUGUGCACUAACUUGGAAAAAGUUGAUAUAUUAAAUAAUAAUAGGUGGUCAAUAAAACUAUAGUAGUGACCAAACAAUACUGUUAAUGAUGCCAUGAAAAAAAUUGGCAAAAAGGGACUAGCAAUUAACCGGUAUUCUCAGAAUUUCAUUAGAUCUUUUGUUGAAAUCGAUGCAAUUGACAGGUGAAAUUUGUAUUUAAUAAACAUUUGGCUGUUUAAAGCAUUAAACUAUUUUGCAGAAACUAUAAGUUUCAUUUUGUUAUUGGGGUAAACCUCAAGUGAGAUAAAUGUAACCAACUCAAUUUACAAAAUGGUAAUUUGGGACUUUUAGAUAUAUAUAUAUAUAUAUAUUUUUGGUUGGUGCAUGCAACACAUGAUAGCGACUAAUGUCUGGGAGUAUUUGAUAUACGUUUUGUCAUUCAAGGGGUUUAACUAUAAUUUUGCAAAACAACAAGGUAGUUUUGUAAUUUGGUCAAAACCACAGGGAUGAUAAAUGUAAUUAACCCAAAAAACUAUAUAAAUAAUAUAAAUAAAAAUUUUCCAUUUGAAAUUCUCCUAGAUAAGACAAUUGUAUGAAUACUUAGAUCUAAAGUCAAAACGGGAAGAGGAAGGGAUGGAUUGGACAAUAUGGAAGGAAAGAAUAUAAGUGAGAGAUUUCAGUUCGAGGUCUCCGCUUACAUUAUAUUAAAAAAAAAAAGAAAUAAAAAGAAGAAGUCAGAACGGAAAGGUCCAAUGGAGCCCAAACAUUGGCCUUGAACUAUAGGCCCCCCAAACAAUUCUGUUCCAGUUCAAGGUUAAAUGAAAUUCACUUGAAUCAAGGAUCCAUGCCUCAUUAGUCUAUUUUAGUCCACUUCAAGUUUAAAUGUCUAUUUCAAAUUUUUGUAAAUCCUACUCUAAUUUGUUUAUAUUGUAUUGAAACUUAUGUACAUCUCAUUCUAACUUGUUUACACUCUAAAGGCCAGCUAAUUUGAUAUGGAACUUGUGACCAGAGAAGAAUGUGGAUAUAUGAUCAUGCCAGUAUCCCCUUAUUGGACCAUUCAUAGUACUGGAUUUUGGACAUAGUUCGAAAACCAUGGUGAAUAAGUGACUCGAAUCGUUGUCAAAAUAACUAAUCAGAAUUAAGUGCCCAUGCCAACAUGUCGUGGUUAAGCGAGGAUUAAGGGUCUAAGCUUGAGUCUACUUAACACUUCUAACUGGCAGUAUGCGAGAAUGAGCCUACACUUUGAUCUACACAUAGUGGACAAUCACUCUAGAUUUCAUUGCACACAAAAAUUAAAAGAAAAUGAAAAUCAAGAAGCCAAGUAGUCUCCUCACUAUAAUGUGAUUUGACCAUUUUUGGAUUGUCAUUUUUUCUCAAAAAAAUUUUACCUUUUCAUGAAUACAUUUUUCAAUCAUCAUAUAUAUCAAAUCGUUACAUUACAUUUUUUUUUAACAAAGACUUCAGAAAACAAUGAUCCAAACGGGAGCACAUUAUAAAUUAUUUUGGCCAGAAGGAAAUUUAUUUGCCAAUAUUCUAAUUCUCAAUUCAUAAAUAUUUAUAAAUGUUAAUGCAUCUUCUGAUUUAGUUAAAUUAUGUUUAACUCGAGAUCUACUGAGUGUAACACAUAAUAGAACCAUGUACAAUGUGUGUAUAGGUAAUUGAAGAAGACCACAAAUAAUAAACUUGGCAUUCAUGGACAUCCUCAUGUCAUAGUACUGUACAAGGUACUAUACAUUUUCGGUGUCAUAAAAAAAUUUUCGGUGGGCACAUUAAUGGCACCUGACUUAUUAGGCAGUGACAUGUUCUCGUUUUUGAACGUCAUAUAAAAGGUCUGGUACUACAAUGCGUCACAUUCCAACCCAGCAAAAACGCCUUUCAAGAAACAUGGACAAGAGCAUGGACAAGAAAAUGGCAGAAAAAGAAACAUGGACAAGAGCAAAAUUGAAAAAUAGAGACAAUUGGAGAGAGAGUUUAUGUUAGUCUUGAAAUUGAACAGAAUUGGAUUUCUUGAAUAUACUGCAAUUGCAAAACAAAGGGCCGUUAAAUCAGUUCUUAGCAUGUGGAUCGAUGAACAAAAUAUAAACUAUUUACUUUGCAUUGAGAUACAUAUACAGUAUCAUGUGAUUUUUUUUUUUUUUUUAAAAAAAAGGUUUAAAAUGGCUGAAGUGAUUUAGGCAAUUUUGUUUUCAUUUUGUAAGUGUAUUCUAACCAGAGUAAUGAGAGAAUAUAGUAACAUUGAUCUGAAAUUUCAAAACUUUUUAUUUUUCAAAACAAAAAUGUAUAAUUACCAGCUGGCGACCUGUCUGGUCAAGAAUUCCGGAUGCUGCUGAUGCAUAGUUAACGCCUUCAGUGAUGUCCUGGCCUUUGAUAUUUGCAAAUGGAGGCAUGUAGCCGGCAAAUCCAAGGAGCUCAGCUGCCAGAAACAGACGUAUACUUUCUUUCUAUCAUUAAGUAGCACAUAUCUAAGUGGCAAGCCCUAGCUUGUUUACGAAAUUCAUCUCUCUUUUUUUUCAGUCCUUAAACUUCAAGCAUCUCUUUACGAGAUAGAUUUCAUAUUUUAAGAGUAAUGUUCGAAGUUGAAGUUUAAGAACUAUAAAGUUGAUGCUUUCAUAUUUUAAGAGUUAAAAGUGUCCAAGAAUAAAAAUUAAAAACUCAGCUUGAAAUGCUUUUAGGAGUCCAAAGUGGAAUAUAGUCUUCAAUUCAUAAAAGAGUCCAUACGAAUCAAAAAACUUUUUGAAAGAAAUAAUACAAUUUAAAAAAAAAAAAAAAAAAAAGAAGUUUUGUGCUGGAUAUUGAAAAAGAAAGAGAUGGUUACCUAUGAAGUCCGCAUGGUUUCGCCCAUUGGUGAAGCGACCAGUUGGACCUUCCGGGAAAUCAAUGCCGUAAGGUGGAUAAUUUGCCUUGGCGGUAGUGUUCAGGUCAUUGUUGUUGCCAUUGUCAUCUUGUGAGUCACCGAAAAUGAAGUAACAAGGGACCUGUGGAUUGCCCAGAGCAAAUGGUUGCAAGAAGAAGAAGAUGACCAUUCCUACGACGGGCAAGAGAACCCAUUGCUUUGUUACAAAAGUCAUGAAUGCCGAUGAGGAAAGAAGCAAGUGAUAGGAAAAGCCAGACGCGGAGGUACCAAAGUCAUUGCCAAAAUAUAGAAGGCAGAGGAGCUAUUGCAGUUGGCUGUAGUGGUGGUCCACCUUGGGAGAGGGCGGAGCCACUCCAUCUCCAUGUGCAGCCUGUUAAACCUGACCCGGCAAAGGAGUCGGUGAUUGAUUCAACUAAUGAAUUGAUUGUUGAAUCUGUGGGUCGAUCACUAAAAAAAUAUUUAUAAGGGUAAAUUAUAUUAACUUCCCCUCUUGUUUUUACAAAAGUUAGGGAUCUCCACUCUUGAUCUCGGAACAAAGAGGACCUCCCCUCUUGUCUGCCAAAUAACAAGAAAAGCUUCCCUACCUAGCUAUGAUCAGGGGAGAAAUGUUAACUACUUUUGUCAUAAACUCAAUUCAAAGUCCCCAAACCACCAUUUCAAUGACACAAGUAAUUAUUUCCAAAAAAAAAUUAAGAAAAAUAGAGUGGAGUACCGAUCACACAUAAUUUUAUUUAUAGCCAUAAAAGUAAAUCCAUAAUACUUCUUUUCUAUAUUAGCUUUGCCACAAAAUAAGUUGAUGUCUUGAAUCAUUUAUGUAAUAUUCAUGUAUAUACAAGUUGAAAUUUUAAAUUGUUAAUAUAUUUGAUAAAUGUACAGUUUGGACACCUCAUUUUAUUAGAAUCCAAUUUAUUCUUGAAGUAGGUACACAUGCAAAUCUAUUAAUUUUGACUGGGAAGAAUAAAAAUAAUGAACAAAUUAAAUAUGGGAAAUCUUCAAAUUUUAAUGCAUAAAAAUCGCUUUAUUCUUCUUUUUUCCCCCCAUUUCUUAGAGAACUAAAGCUCUUUGUUUUGACAAUUUUCUUUUGUUUAAUAUAAGAUAAAGGGUAAAAAUGUAAAAUGAAAACUAUUGUAAAUGUUGACUUGAUGGAAGACAUUAUUGAUAAGAGAGGCUCAUGUUGUCUCAGAAUCACGAGAAGAGACCCCUGACUGUUGCAGGAAACUAGAGGGGAGGUCAGUGUAAUUCACCGUCUUUGCAAAUACAUGUGACAUAAUUAUUAGUUAUCUUGAGGUGCGUAGAAUUUAUAAAUAAAGUACUUCAUCAAUAUUAAUUAGUACAUCUAAAAAGAUAUAUUUUGAAUAUAUAAACUUAAUAAAUGAGUCAAUUUCUUUAUAUCAUACUUUAAAAAUAUAAAGCAUGCAUUCAAAGAUAAACAAAAAAUUAGCUUAUUUAUUAAAAGAAUAGGCUUUUAAGGAAAUAGAAUUAAGUUUUUGUCAAUACUUUGCCAAAAAAAUUCAAUUAAUUUUCAACCGUUGUUUACGUAAUAAUAACACUUUCAUAUUGAAAGUUGAAUUAAUUAUGCAAUAAUAAAGUAAACAAAUACAUUUGAAGGGACAUUUGGUCAACAAGUGAAAGUUUAUUUCCAAUAAUAAAGUCUUUUGCACGUCAAUGAAGACAUUCAUAUUUCCCCUUGAGAAAAAAUUGAACUUUAAACAAAAUUAUUUUGAGAUUCAAGGUCCAGACAUUGGUAAAAACAUACAUUUUGAUCCAAAAACAAAGACCUAUGUUAUUCAUCGCAGGGGAGGUUAGGUCAGUCCAAAUAAGGCUUGACCGAUUACAUAUUGUCAAAUUAAUAAGAUAAUUGUACACAGAUAUACAUCGGUCCAAUCUCAUUCCGAAUCAAUACUAUGAAGUGGACUCACAUUGGGUCUUAAUAUAUACAUGUGUGUGUGUGUGUGUGUGAGAGAGAGACCUUGAAGCAGGUUGGGCUUGGGCCACCAAGAUUUUAUUACCGGUUCGAUUUUAAUAUAUAGUAUCAGGACGUAGAGAUUAUGAAUUCAAAUUUCCUUUUCGCCUACUCUUUGUUUUCUAAAUCUCACCUCUUUUAAUUUUUUUUUUUAAAGUAGGUUAUAUAGUUGUAAGAGUAUAUAGGGUUAGAACAAUCACAGGGGCAAACUAGUAUACCAUGGUAUAAUCCCACCCCUUAUUUAUCUUGGGAAAACUGUUACCACCUCCAAUGUAAGAUUAUUUUAUCUUACGAAUGAGGGAUUAAUUUGGUAAAAUGAAAAGUCUAAUUGCAUAAAACUAACUAAAUAUGGGAUAACAUAAUAUUAAUAAUUUAAUCCUAUGUCAUCUCAUGCAACAAACUAGCGAAGUCUUUUAGACUAAUAAAGGCACGGUUUGAAUCCGAACGUAUUAUACUGACUGUCAAUUUAUUGUGGCAAAUCUGGAAAUCUAGAAAUGAGAAACAGUUCAAUGGUCAGGAAAGGAAUCCGUUAGUAGCAGUGAGUAAGGCAGUGGGGGAAUGGAAGGAGUUUCAGGAUGCUCAAGCAGAGGAAUUGGAGAGUCAGGGAAGUGGUAAGCAUGAAGCUGAGGGAUCAAGGGGGUGGAGGCUUCCUCAGGAAGGUUGGGUCAAGAUAAACACAGAUGCUGCAUUACAAAAGAAGGAAGGUCUGGCGGGAUGGGGAAUGGUUGCAAGGGAUUGGCAAGGGAAAGUUCUGAAAGCUUGGGCAAUACCAAACCGUAGCUGUUCUAAUCCAAAACUGGAGGAGUCAUUGGCUUUAAGAGCUGCCAUGUUGCUGGCAAAACAGCAGGGUUGGAAGAAGGUGAUGUUUGAAUCGGACUGCCUACAGGUGGUGGAGGAAAUUAACAAGGAGCAGUCGUAUGAGAUAGGCUCAGUAGUAUUAGAUGAUAUCAGGGAACUUAGGAAAAAUUUUUACGAAUGUUGUUUUACCUUUACUCGAAGAGUAAACAACUUUGUUAGCCAUAGACUUGCCAAAUUGGCAAUUAGCUUAACAAUACAAACUGAAUGGAAGGACAUCUUCCCAGACUGGCUGCCUGCACUGGUGCAAGCAGAUAUUGAGGGCAGUUGCCCAUCUUUCAUGUAAAGUUUAUGUUCAGUAAUAGAAUGUUACCGACCUUUUGACAAAAAAAAAAAAGAAUCCUCACUCAAUCAAACAUGUGAUUACAUAAAGGUCUUUUAGAACUAUAAGAACACUUAAUAAACUUUGAACGAGGAUUCUGCACAGACAUUGGGCUUUUACACAAUUCUAAUAGUAAUUAUAAAUGGUCUGAGAUUAAUGAUAACAUAUUGUUUCCAUUGAGGAGAUAAUGUCAUACUAGCACAUUCGGACUCUCCAGUUUUAUUACAUCGAGUUUGACUUGUUGGAAACUUGGAAUAUAGAAAUAUCAUGGGACACAUAGAUACAGUCUAUUGUAUCUUCACUUUAUCAUGACAGGUUUUGCCUGUAGGCCGCCAAUGGCAAGAGGAUCAGCAUCAAGUAAUGA